UACGAAGGGUGCGAGCGUUAUUCGGAAUAACUGGGCGUAAAGAGCGUGAAGGCGGUUUUUUAAGUCACUUGUUAAAUGGCUCAGCUUAACUGAGCGCAUGCGGGUGAGACUGGGAAGCUAGAGUGCAGGAGAGAAAGGUAGAAUUCUCGGAGUAGCGGUAAAAUGCGUAGAUCUCGAGAGGAAUACCGGUUGCGAAGGCGGCCUUUUGGCCUGCAACUGACGCUCAAGCGCGAAAGCGUGGGGAGCAAACAGG
This 253-nucleotide ribosomal RNA is filed under the name uncultured bacterium. RNAcentral describes it as "partial 16S ribosomal RNA". It matches the Rfam family "Bacterial small subunit ribosomal RNA", at positions 524 to 776 of the family's 1533-position model. The record is from RNAcentral.